RNAcentral lists this ribosomal RNA (720 nucleotides) under Klebsiella pneumoniae. RNAcentral describes it as "partial 23S ribosomal RNA". It matches the Rfam family "Bacterial large subunit ribosomal RNA", at positions 102 to 867 of the family's 2925-position model. Lineage: Bacteria; Pseudomonadati; Pseudomonadota; Gammaproteobacteria; Enterobacterales; Enterobacteriaceae. RNAcentral also lists the same sequence under 1 other name. The record is from RNAcentral.
AACCGGCGAUGUCCGAAUGGGGAAACCCAGUGCAAUUCGUUGCACUAUCGUUAACUGAAUACAUAGGUUAACGAGGCGAACCGGGGGAACUGAAACAUCUAAGUACCCCGAGGAAAAGAAAUCAACCGAGAUUCCCCCAGUAGCGGCGAGCGAACGGGGAGCAGCCCAGAGUCUGAAUCAGCUUGUGUGUUAGUGGAACGGUCUGGAAAGUCCGACGGUACAGGGUGAUAGUCCCGUACACCAAAAUGCACAGGUUGUGAACUCGAAGAGUAGGGCGGGACACGUGGUAUCCUGUCUGAAUAUGGGGGGACCAUCCUCCAAGGCUAAAUACUCCUGACUGACCGAUAGUGAACCAGUACCGUGAGGGAAAGGCGAAAAGAACCCCGGCGAGGGGAGUGAAAAAGAACCUGAAACCGUGUACGUACAAGCAGUGGGAGCACCUUCGGGUGUGACUGCGUACCUUUUGUAUAAUGGGUCAGCGACUUAUAUUCUGUAGCAAGGUUAACCGUAUAGGGGAGCCGCAGGGAAACCGAGUCUUAACUGGGCGUUAAGUUGCAGGGUAUAGACCCGAAACCCGGUGAUCUAGCCAUGGGCAGGUUGAAGGUUGGGUAACACUAACUGGAGGACCGAACCGACUAAUGUUGAAAAAUUAGCGGAUGACUUGUGGCUGGGGGUGAAAGGCCAAUCAAACCGGGAGAUAGCUGGUUCUCCCCGAAAGCU